This 2981-nucleotide ribosomal RNA is filed under the name Salmonella enterica subsp. enterica serovar Typhimurium. RNAcentral's name for it is "bacterial LSU rRNA". It matches the Rfam family "Bacterial large subunit ribosomal RNA". The record is from RNAcentral. Lineage: Bacteria; Pseudomonadati; Pseudomonadota; Gammaproteobacteria; Enterobacterales; Enterobacteriaceae.
ACUAAGCGUACACGGUGGAUGCCCUGGCAGUCAGAGGCGAUGAAGGACGUGCUAAUCUGCGAUAAGCGCCGGUAAGGUGAUAUGAACCGUUAUAACCGGCGAUUUCCGAAUGGGGAAACCCAGUGUGAUUCGUCACACUAUCAUUAACUGAAUCCAUAGGUUAAUGAGGCGAACCGGGGGAACUGAAACAUCUAAGUACCCCGAGGAAAAGAAAUCAACCGAGAUUCCCCCAGUAGCGGCGAGCGAACGGGGAGGAGCCCAGAGCCUGAAUCAGCAUGUGUGUUAGUGGAAGCGUCUGGAAAGGUGCGCGAUACAGGGUGACAGCCCCGUACACAAAAGCGCAUGUGCUGUGAGCUCGAUGAGUAGGGCGGGACACGUGGUAUCCUGUCUGAAUAUGGGGGGACCAUCCUCCAAGGCUAAAUACUCCUGACUGACCGAUAGUGAACCAGUACCGUGAGGGAAAGGCGAAAAGAACCCCGGCGAGGGGAGUGAAAAAGAACCUGAAACCGUGUACGUACAAGCAGUGGGAGCACAGGUUUACCUGUGUGACUGCGUACCUUUUGUAUAAUGGGUCAGCGACUUAUAUUCUGUAGCAAGGUUAACCGAAUAGGGGAGCCGGAGGGAAACCGAGUCUUAAUUGGGCGUUAAGUUGCAGGGUAUAGACCCGAAACCCGGUGAUCUAGCCAUGGGCAGGUUGAAGGUUGGGUAACACUAACUGGAGGACCGAACCGACUAAUGUUGAAAAAUUAGCGGAUGACCUGUGGCUGGGGGUGAAAGGCCAAUCAAACCGGGAGAUAGCUGGUUCUCCCCGAAAGCUAUUUAGGUAGCGCCUCGUGAAUUCAUCUCCGGGGGUAGAGCACUGUUUCGGCUAGGGGGCCAUCCCGGCUUACCAACCCGAUGCAAACUGCGAAUACCGGAGAAUGUUAUCACGGGAGACACACGGCGGGUGCUAACGUCCGUCGUGAAGAGGGAAACAACCCAGACCGCCAGCUAAGGUCCCAAAGUCAUGGUUAAGUGGGAAACGAUGUGGGAAGGCCCAGACAGCCAGGAUGUUGGCUUAGAAGCAGCCAUCAUUUAAAGAAAGCGUAAUAGCUCACUGGUCGAGUCGGCCUGCGCGGAAGAUGUAACGGGGCUAAACCAUGCACCGAAGCUGCGGCAGCGAACGUAUCACCCAAGACAACUUUACGGAGUUGACGAUUGACGGAGCGAAGCGACGUCAAAGCGUUCAUUAAAGUCGAGUUGGCUUAGGGAUACGUUCGUUGGGUAGGGGAGCGUUCUGUAAGCCUGUGAAGGUGUGUCGUGAGGCAUGCUGGAGGUAUCAGAAGUGCGAAUGCUGACAUAAGUAACGAUAAAGCGGGUGAAAAGCCCGCUCGCCGGAAGACCAAGGGUUCCUGUCCAACGUUAAUCGGGGCAGGGUGAGUCGACCCCUAAGGCGAGGCCGAAAGGCGUAGUCGAUGGGAAACGGGUUAAUAUUCCCGUACUUGGUGUUACUGCGAAGGGGGGACGGAGAAGGCUAUGUUGGCCGGGCGACGGUUGUCCCGGUUUAAGCGUGUAGGUGUGUGUUCCAGGUAAAUCCGGUUCACUUUAACACUGAGGCGUGACGACGAGGCACUACGGUGCUGAAGCAACAAAUGCCCUGCUUCCAGGAAAAGCCUCUAAGCAUCAGGUAACACGAAAUCGUACCCCAAACCGACACAGGUGGUCAGGUAGAGAAUACCAAGGCGCUUGAGAGAACUCGGGUGAAGGAACUAGGCAAAAUGGUGCCGUAACUUCGGGAGAAGGCACGCUGACACGUAGGUGAAGUGAUUUACUCAUGGAGCUGAAGUCAGUCGAAGAUACCAGCUGGCUGCAACUGUUUAUUAAAAACACAGCACUGUGCAAACACGAAAGUGGACGUAUACGGUGUGACGCCUGCCCGGUGCCGGAAGGUUAAUUGAUGGGGUCAGCGCAAGCGAAGCUCCUGAUCGAAGCCCCGGUAAACGGCGGCCGUAACUAUAACGGUCCUAAGGUAGCGAAAUUCCUUGUCGGGUAAGUUCCGACCUGCACGAAUGGCGUAAUGAUGGCCAGGCUGUCUCCACCCGAGACUCAGUGAAAUUGAACUCGCUGUGAAGAUGCAGUGUACCCGCGGCAAGACGGAAAGACCCCGUGAACCUUUACUAUAGCUUGACACUGAACAUUGAGCCUUGAUGUGUAGGAUAGGUGGGAGGCUUUGAAGUGUGGACGCCAGUCUGCAUGGAGCCGACCUUGAAAUACCACCCUUUAAUGUUUGAUGUUCUAACGUGGACCCGUAAUCCGGGUUGCGGACAGUGUCUGGUGGGUAGUUUGACUGGGGCGGUCUCCUCCUAAAGAGUAACGGAGGAGCACGAAGGUUGGCUAAUCCUGGUCGGACAUCAGGAGGUUAGUGCAAUGGCAUAAGCCAGCUUGACUGCGAGCGUGACGGCGCGAGCAGGUGCGAAAGCAGGUCAUAGUGAUCCGGUGGUUCUGAAUGGAAGGGCCAUCGCUCAACGGAUAAAAGGUACUCCGGGGAUAACAGGCUGAUACCGCCCAAGAGUUCAUAUCGACGGCGGUGUUUGGCACCUCGAUGUCGGCUCAUCACAUCCUGGGGCUGAAGUAGGUCCCAAGGGUAUGGCUGUUCGCCAUUUAAAGUGGUACGCGAGCUGGGUUUAGAACGUCGUGAGACAGUUCGGUCCCUAUCUGCCGUGGGCGCUGGAGAACUGAGGGGGGCUGCUCCUAGUACGAGAGGACCGGAGUGGACGCAUCACUGGUGUUCGGGUUGUCAUGCCAAUGGCACUGCCCGGUAGCUAAAUGCGGAAGAGAUAAGUGCUGAAAGCAUCUAAGCACGAAACUUGCCCCGAGAUGAGUUCUCCCUGAGACUUAGAGUCUCCUGAAGGAACGUUGAAGACGACGACGUUGAUAGGCCGGGUGUGUAAGCGCAGCGAUGCGUUGAGCUAACCGGUACUAAUGAACCGUGAGGCUUAACC